AGCCUGACGCAGCAACGCCGCGUGAGGGACGAAGGCUUUCUGAGUUGUAAACCUCUUUCGACAGGAACGAUUGUGACGGUACCUGUAGAAGAGGCACCGGCCAACUAUGUGCCAGCAGCCGCGGUGAUACAUAGGGUGCGAGCGUUAUUCGGAUUUAUUGGGCGUAAAGAGCUCGUAAGCGGUUCGAUAAGUCGGGUGUUAAACCCCCAGGCUCAACCUGGGGCCGCCACCCGAAACUGUCGUGACUAUAGUUUGGUAGGGGAUCACGGAAUUCCUGGUGUAACGGUGGAAUGCGCAGAUAUCAAGAGGAACACCAGUAGCAAAGGCGGUGAUCUGGGCCAAUACUGACGCUGAGGAGCGAAAGCGUGGGGAGCGAACAGGAUUAGAUACCCUGGUAGUCCACGACCGUAAACGGUGGGCACUAGGUGUGGGGACUUUUCAACGGAUUCCGCGCCGCAGCUAACGCAUUAAGUGCCCCGCCUGG
Molecule: ribosomal RNA, 484 nt
Filed under: uncultured bacterium
Lineage: Bacteria
Description: bacterial SSU rRNA
Rfam family: Bacterial small subunit ribosomal RNA
Source: RNAcentral